This 1173-nucleotide long non-coding RNA is filed under the name Homo sapiens (human). Its description in RNAcentral is "HSALNT0338181". The record is from RNAcentral. Lineage: Eukaryota; Metazoa; Chordata; Mammalia; Primates; Hominidae.
GGGGCAGGAGACCGGAGGGAGUUGAGGUUUUGCACCCGAUAAGGAGACGCAUAAAGGGAACGGGUGGGGACACAGGGCCCCUGCAGCCUCAGGAGGAUCAGCAGUGGCCUGGUUUACUCGUGUCGUCAUUCGUCGUGGGCACCUUGUCCCCGGGGCCGGCCAGUUACUUGGCCUCCUGGCUCAUCAUCCUGCCGGAAGCAUCUCCAGCUUGGGGAUGUUGGAGGGUCCCUGGCCCCACCUGGCUGGGGAUGGAGUGUCUUCCAAAACCGCGAGAAAUAAAUGUCUGUGUCUAAACCCCAACCCUACCACCUCAACUGCCGUGUGUGGUGUUUUGUGAUGGCAGCCCCAGCUGACUGAGACACCUGGUUAGACCGGAAUAAGCAGUACCUGAGUCCCUUAAGAGUGGCCAAAGAAGAAAGAAUCCACUGAGUUGACAUUCCAGUUCAGCUGCAAUCGGUAGCAGUCACCAUUGAACAUCCUUGAAGCAAUUCUUCCAAAAUUACCUUGCAUCAAAGACUGCACAAGAACUGCUCUAAGCGGAAGGACUGAUGUCGGCAACCAGGGUUCCACCAGGGGCUGCAGACAGCCCUUGACCUUCAGGUGGGAAGGUGUCACUGAGUUCAGACCCUCUGGCAAUCCCUAGCUAUCAACAUUUUGAUAAGAAAAUAAGUGGAAAGGUAGAACUGGAAGAUUUUGCUGAAAGAUUGGACAUGGCAUUCAGAGAAACAGAGGUUUUAAUGACAAACUCCAAGUUUUUGGCUGGAGCAACUGGAAGAAUGAGGUUGCCAUGAACCGAAAAGAGAGAUUGCAGAAGUAACCAAAUUUACUCACGUAGGCCAGGAAUUUCUAUGACGUGUUCCAAAUUCAGCCUCUCACUGAACACUUCCAGAGCAAGGCAACAUAAACAUCUGCAAGAAGAACAUUGUGUGAGAAAUAUCAAGUGAGAGUGGAAGAGUCUGCGGAGGGCCUCCCUGGGGCUCACCUGUGCUUUUGCCUGAGCUUCACCGUGUCAAGGAUGCAGCACUUUUUCCCUCUGGAGGAAGCAGCUUUCACCUUGGAAGAAUCUUGACCUUGCCAUUCAAAGUCACCAGACAGGGAAUCUGCCAGUGCCUUGAUCUUAGACUUCCCAGCUUCUGUAACUGUGAGCAAUAAAUGUAUGCUGCUUAUAAACUA